RNAcentral lists this ribosomal RNA (497 nucleotides) under uncultured bacterium. Its description in RNAcentral is "partial 16S ribosomal RNA". It matches the Rfam family "Bacterial small subunit ribosomal RNA", at positions 28 to 507 of the family's 1533-position model. The record is from RNAcentral.
GAUGAACGCUGGCGGCGUGCCUAAUACAUGCAAGUCGAGCGAACGGACGAGAAGCUUGCUUCUCUGAUGUUAGCGGCGGACGGGUGAGUAACACGUGGAUAACCUACCUAUAAGACUGGGAUAACUUCGGGAAACCGGAGCUAAUACCGGAUAAUAUUUUGAACCGCAUGGUUCAAAAGUGAAAGACGGUCUUGCUGUCACUUAUAGAUGGAUCCGCGCUGCAUUAGCUAGUUGGUAAGGUAACGGCUUACCAAGGCAACGAUGCAUAGCCGACCUGAGAGGGUGAUCGGCCACCCUGGAACUGAGACACGGUCCAGACUCCUACGGGAGGCAGCAUUAGGGAAUCUUCCGAAAUGGGCGAAAGCCUGACGGAGCAACGCCGCGUGAUUGAUGAAGGUCUUCGGAUCGUAAAACUCUGUUAUUAGGGAAGAACAUAUGUGUAAGUAACUGUGCACAUCUUGACGGUACCUAAUCAGAAAGCCACGGCUAACUACGUG